GACGGGGCCCGCACAAGCGUGGAGUAUGUGGUUUAAUUCGAUGCAACGCGAAGAACCUUACCUGGUCUUGACAUCCCGGAGACCCUUAGGAAACUAGGGGGUGCUUCCAUCUGGAAGAAUCUGGAGACAGGUGCUGCAUGGCUGUCGUCAGCUCGUGUCGUGAGAUGUUGGGUUAAGUCCCGCAACGAGCGCAACCCUUGCCUUUAGUUGCCAGCAGUUCGGCUGGGCACUCUAAAGGGACUGCCGGUGUUAAACCGGAGAAGGUGGGGAUGACGUCAAGUCCUCAUGGCCUUUAUGACCAGGGCUACACACGUACUACAAUGGCCGAUACAAAGGGCAGCGACACUGCGAGGUGAAGCCAAUCCCGUAAAAUCGGUCUCAGUCCGGAUUGGAGUCUGCAACUCGACUCCAUGAAGUUGGAAUCGCUAGUAAUCGUGGAUCAGCAUGCCACGGUGAAUACGUUCCCGGGCCUU
This 473-nucleotide ribosomal RNA is filed under the name uncultured Desulfobulbus sp. RNAcentral describes it as "bacterial SSU rRNA". It matches the Rfam family "Bacterial small subunit ribosomal RNA", at positions 916 to 1381 of the family's 1533-position model. Lineage: Bacteria; Pseudomonadati; Thermodesulfobacteriota; Desulfobulbia; Desulfobulbales; Desulfobulbaceae. The record is from RNAcentral.